AAUCCUGGUCGGACAUCAGGAGGUUAGUGCAAUGGCAUAAGCCAGCUUGACUGCGAGCGUGACGGCGCGAGCAGGUGCGAAAGCAGGUCAUAGUGAUCCGGUGGUUCUGAAUGGAAGGGCCAUCGCUCAACGGAUAAAAGGUACUCCGGGGAUAACAGGCUGAUACCGCCCAAGAGUUCAUAUCGACGGCGGUGUUUGGCACCUCGAUGUCGGCUCAUCACAUCCUGGGGCUGAAGUAGGUCCCAAGGGUAUGGCUGUUCGCCAUUUAAAGUGGUACGCGAGCUGGGUUUAGAACGUCGUGAGACAGUUCGGUCCCUAUCUGCCGUGGGCGCUGGAGAACUGAGGGGGGCUGCUCCUAGUACGAGAGGACCGGAGUGGACGCAUCACUGGUGUUCGGGUUGUCAUGCCAAUGGCACUGCCCGGUAGCUAAAUGCGGAAGAGAUAAGUGCUGAAAGCAUCUAAGCACGAAACUUGCCCCGAGAUGAGUUCUCCCUGAGACUUAGAGU
Molecule: ribosomal RNA, 506 nt
Filed under: Salmonella enterica subsp. enterica serovar Durham
Lineage: Bacteria; Pseudomonadati; Pseudomonadota; Gammaproteobacteria; Enterobacterales; Enterobacteriaceae
Description: partial 23S ribosomal RNA
Rfam family: Bacterial large subunit ribosomal RNA
Source: RNAcentral